RNAcentral lists this ribosomal RNA (590 nucleotides) under uncultured archaeon. RNAcentral describes it as "bacterial SSU rRNA". It matches the Rfam family "Archaeal small subunit ribosomal RNA", at positions 1 to 598 of the family's 1478-position model. The record is from RNAcentral.
UUCGGUUGAUCCUGCCGGACCUGACUGCUAUCUGAUUGGUACUAAGCCAUGCGAGUCGUUGUACAAUACAAGGCGGACUGCUCAGUAACACAUAAGUUGAACUUAACCUAUGGAUGGGAAUAACCUCGGGAAACUGAGAAUAAUACCCAAUAGACCACAGUGCCUGGAAUGGCCUGUGGUUGAAAUGAUUUAUCGCCGUAGGAUAGGACUGCGGCCUAUCAGCUUGUUGGUGAGGUAAUGGCCCACCAAGGCUAUAACAGGUACGGGCUCUGAGAGGAGGGGCCCGGAGAUGGGUACUGAGACACGGACCCAGGCCCUAUGGGGCGCAGCAGGCGAGAAACCUUUGCAAUGUGCGAAAGCACGACAGGGUUAAUCCGAGUGUCUCCUGCUAAAGGAGUCUUUUGUCAGUUGUAGAAUCACUGGUGAAUAAGGGGUGGGCAAGUUCUGGUGUCAGCCGCCGCGGUAAAACCAGCACCUCGAGUGGUCAGGAGGUUUAUUGGGCCUAAAGCAUCCGUAGCCGGUUGCAUAAGUUUUCGGUUAAAUCUAUGCGCUUAACGUAUAGGCCGCCGAAAAUACUGUGCAGCUAGGGA